UGACAGGAUUUUUUUAAAGCCACAAACUAUAUAAAUUAAUUUCUAU
Mus musculus (house mouse) is the source of this 46-nucleotide non-coding RNA. NCBI's taxonomy places the organism in Eukaryota, Metazoa, Chordata, Mammalia, Rodentia, Muridae. The record is from Rfam.